GGGUCAGUAGGUUGGUCGUGCCACCGGUACGUACUGGUCUCACUGAUUCCUCCUUCCUGAAGAACCGUAAUGCCAUUAAUUUGGUGUUGCGGGGAAACAGGACUGUCACCUUGAAAAAAUUAGAGUGUUUAAAGCAAGCUAACGCUUGAAUACAUUAGCAUUGAAUAAUGAAAUAGGACGAUCGAUCCUAUUUUGUUGGUUUCUAGGAUUGACGUA
Molecule: ribosomal RNA, 216 nt
Filed under: Glomeromycotina sp.
Lineage: Eukaryota; Fungi; Glomeromycota
Description: partial small subunit ribosomal RNA
Rfam family: Eukaryotic small subunit ribosomal RNA (bases 40-216)
Source: RNAcentral